Molecule: ribosomal RNA, 253 nt
Filed under: uncultured bacterium
Lineage: Bacteria
Description: partial 16S ribosomal RNA
Rfam family: Bacterial small subunit ribosomal RNA
Source: RNAcentral
UACGUAGGGUGCGAGCGUUAAUCGGAAUUACUGGGCGUAAAGCGUGCGCAGGCGGUUCGUUGUGUCGGCGGUGAAAGCCCCGGGCUUAACCUGGGAAUGGCCGUUGAAACUGGCGAACUGGAGUGUGGCAGAGGGGGGUGGAAUUCCGCGUGUAGCAGUGAAAUGCGUAGAGAUGCGGAGGAACACCGAUGGCGAAGGCAGCCCCCUGGGUCAAAACUGACGCUCAUGCACGAAAGCGUGGGGAGCAAACAGG